CCCGGCCCAAGAUAAUGUUACCAUUUUACAGGUAUAAAUUGGAGCUUGCAUCUCAGUUUGAUUAAUUCAGAAGUCGUUGGCUUUGACUGUCUUUUYAGAACCGUGGAAUAUAAACUUGUUCAGACCUAAGAGAUUCAGUUCAGUGAUCAUUAACCAUGAGGACYUUUCAAACUUUCUUGGUGUUAAUGUUGCUGGUUGUGUACUCGUCAGCGUGGCUUUUUAGCAGCUCUCGAGAAAAUGCAGAGAAAGCAGACAAGAACUACGAAAACAGCCCAGCUGAACGCUUCGUUGCUAAAUCAUUUGGUGACGAGCUUCCCAAGAUGAGAGAUGAUCUGAUCAGGCGCAAGAAUAACGGGGAGGGCUUUAUUGAGCGUCAUUAUAAUGCAUGGAAAAAUGGAAACAACUGGGAUGUGGAUGAGAACAAUGACGCMAAGGAAGAUGGUGACCCAGAACCGAGAACCUGAUAGAAUUUGAACGUCAAGGCGAGAAAACACGUUGAAGACUUGCAAACAUUAAUGACAAACUUUAAAAGGACUGAACAAUGGAAUUAACUAGUAGUGACUGAAAUAAAACAAGUAGAAUGUAUUGUUAUUGUGAUUAAAAAGCCUAAACUAAAGAAUGAA
Long non-coding RNA from Actinia tenebrosa (Australian red waratah sea anemone), 623 nucleotides. The record is from RefSeq and is a predicted model, not a curated record. Lineage: Eukaryota; Metazoa; Cnidaria; Anthozoa; Actiniaria; Actiniidae.